AUUAGCUAGUUGGCGAGGUAAUGGCUCACCAAGGCUACGAUCGGUAGCUGGUCUGAGAGGAUGAUCAGCCACACUGGAACUGAAACACGGUCCAGACUCCUACGGGAGGCAGCAGUGAGGGAUAUUGCGCAAUGGGGGAAACCCUGACGUAGCAACGCCGCGUGGGUGAAGAAGGCCUUCGGGUCGUAAACGGCUAACUCCGUGCCAGCAGCCGCGGUAAUACGGAGGGUGCGAGCGUUGUUCGGAAUUACUGGGCGUAAAGCGCGUGUAGGCGGCCUUGCAAGUCAGGCGUGAAAGCCCUCGGCUUAACCCCGGAAGUGCGUCUGAAACUGCUUGGCUUGAGUACGGGAGAGGGAGGCGGAAUUCCCAGUGUAGAGGUGAAAUUCGUAGAUAUUGGGAGGAACACCGGUGGCGAAAGCGGCCUCCUGGACCUUUACUGACGCUGAGACGCGAAAGCGUGGGGAGCAAACAGGAUUAGAUACCCUGGUAGUCCACGCGGUCAACGAUGGGCACUAGGUGUGGGGGGUAUCCACUCCUCCCGUGCCGAAGCUAACGCAUUAAGUGCCCCGCCUGGGGAGUACGGCC
RNAcentral lists this ribosomal RNA (585 nucleotides) under uncultured bacterium. Its description in RNAcentral is "bacterial SSU rRNA". It matches the Rfam family "Bacterial small subunit ribosomal RNA", at positions 240 to 887 of the family's 1533-position model. The record is from RNAcentral.